GUUAAGUCCCGCAACGAGCGCAACCCCUAUUUCUAGUUACUACCAGGUUAAGCUGAGGACUCUAGAGAGACUGCCGGUGACAAACCGGAGGAAGGUGGGGAUGACGUCAAGUCAUCAUGGCCCUUAUGUCCUGGGCUACACACGUACUACAAUGGUCGGUACAAAGCGAGGCGAAACCGCGAGGUGGAGCAAACCGCAGAAAGCCGAUCACAGUUCAGAUUGGAGUCUGAAACUCGACUCCAUGAAGGUGGAAUCGCUAGUAAUCGCGCAUCAGCAUGGCGCGGUGAAUACGUUCCCGGGCCUUGUACACACCGCCCGUCACACCACCCGAGUUGGGGGUACCCGAAGUCGGUCGUCUAACCGUAAGGAGGACGCUGCCGAAGGUACGCCUGGUAAGGGGGG
This 402-nucleotide ribosomal RNA is filed under the name uncultured spirochete Za29. RNAcentral describes it as "bacterial SSU rRNA". It matches the Rfam family "Bacterial small subunit ribosomal RNA", at positions 1079 to 1480 of the family's 1533-position model. Lineage: Bacteria; Pseudomonadati; Spirochaetota; Spirochaetia; Spirochaetales. The record is from RNAcentral.